AACUCAAUGUGGUGCCAUGAGGGUUCAAUAAUACGACACAUACAUCAGAAUCUUGAAGAAUCCUGUGUGAAUAAUAUACCUUCCAGGGCCUGACUCUAGAACUUCCAAUCAGAAUCUUUGAGAUGGUCCAGAAACGCACGUUUUUAAUGAGUUCUCCUCCAUGUAAAGUUCACAUCAGUGCUGAAGAGAUUCUGCAGCCAUAAAGGUGGAUGUUUCCAUGAGUGUUUGGGACACCAACUCAUCCUCAUUAGACAUUAGAUCCAUGCUGGGAAUCCUCAGGUCAGCAAUUUGAACCAGCCCCAGAUCCACCGAAGCUGCAGUCGGAAGAACAAGACACAGAGAAGGAGUGGCAAGAACAAGAAAGCUUCCGAGAGUGCAAGCGUUUUUUUUUUCUUUAUCGGAUUCGACGCUCUGGAGAAAAUUAAACAGGAUUGCACUUUCUAUCGAAUAAAGUACACUCAUUCUUCAGAAUCAUAGAUUGUGAAUCUAACAAUCUUGCUGAGAAUGGAUACUCUGACUUCCAGAGACUUGAUGACUUUGUUUCCUCUCUUCUCCCGUAAUUUUACGUGUGAUAAGUGGAUGUUGGCAGCUUCUCCAAAUAAGGCAUGAAUCAAGAAUGUACUCUCAACGUGAAAUAGCAAGCCAAAGAUUGAUUAUAUCUACUUAAGUCUAUGAUAAAAAUGGACACCAGCUUGCCAAAUUAUUUCAGCUGCCAAGAACACCAACCACCAAAGUAUCAGGACAGAUGGAUUUCACCAAAGCCUUGAUAUAAUCUGAGGAAAAGAAACUCAGGGAAAAUGUGCUGAUCCAUCAUUUAAGGGGCAAAGGUUCUUGUUUCUGUGGUCAAAGAAAUGGAGUGGGAUGAUAUGGAGAUUGUCUGUGACCCAAAGACUGCUGGUCUCCGUAAUCAUGGCAUAGAGAAAAAGAGGAGCAGGGAUUUAUCACAGAGAUGUAAGUUUAUGGGGAAGGAAACAGAAGCACUUACAAGUCUUUCUG
Molecule: long non-coding RNA, 996 nt
Filed under: Homo sapiens (human)
Lineage: Eukaryota; Metazoa; Chordata; Mammalia; Primates; Hominidae
Description: HSALNT0197028
Source: RNAcentral